UGGCAGGCGAUUCUUGUUAGGGGAAGAUGCAUAGUAAAGGAUGGUCCACCUAUUAUUUCACUCUUGUUAAGUUGGUGUAUAUCUGGUUUGAUAUUAUCGUUUAAUGGUUUGAGUUUGUGUAGUUUUAGUGCCAAGUCUAUGUGCUGCUUAUGGGAGUUUUUGUGUGUUACAUUAAUAAGGGUGCUGGUGUAUGAUAUUAUU
This 201-nucleotide ribosomal RNA is filed under the name Echinococcus granulosus. RNAcentral describes it as "partial 12S ribosomal RNA". The record is from RNAcentral. Lineage: Eukaryota; Metazoa; Platyhelminthes; Cestoda; Cyclophyllidea; Taeniidae.